GCCAAGAAAGAGGAAAGGUUGUUAGGGAACCAUUCUCGGAGAAAGUAACUGCGCAGUAGAAAAGUAACUGCUCUAGAGCCUAAGUUUGAAAAGGGACGGGCCUGAUCAGACGGCCUAACUGCAAACCACAAACCAACUGUCAUAACCAUUGUCGCCAUGACUACAGGACCCUGGGAGGUCGGCAGGUGGGUGGGGCUAGCUUCUAGAAACUGUAUAUAAGGGGGCCCUCAGACACUGUAAAGCAGAGGUUGCUCAGCCUCUCUCCCUGGUCCGUAGCAUCUAGUGCCCGCAGGAGUAGGCUUGAGUGAUCUCUCCUCCUAGUCGCCUAGAGUACCAAUAAAGUGUGUUUAGCUUGACCUUCCUCAGUUUCCUUGACUCUUCCUUUGUGGCAACCUGGCCAGUUCCUGGAGGGGGAGAUCCUGACAGCUGGUGCCUGAACAGGGACCUGAAGUUGGACGGUGAGGAGACGAGCCCUUGAGGAAUCAUCAAAAGGAUUACCAAACAGUAAAGACUGGAAAGGGCCACUACCAUCCUUUGGAAAGGAGAAGGAGCAGUAGUGAUCGAGACACCUGAAAAGGGGAUUAUUAGCUUGCCCCAAAGACAUGUUAGGAUGGUUCCAGCCCAGGACCUCAGGAUUUGGGAAUUUCCAAUUAGGCACUAAUGGAAUAUCCAUUGCAAUUAUCCUGUCAAAAGAACUCAUGUGUUUUUAAGAAAUGCAGAUACCACUGUCAGUUGUGCUUUUUACAGAAAGAAUUAGGGAUUUCAUAUUCCAGAGCUAGGACUAAAGAACUCCAGAAAUGGCGACAGCAGCAGCAAACGGAGAAAUGUACAUUAAAGGAAGAGAAGCAAAAGACCUCUAUGAACAGUAUGCACUUGAACAAUUAAGUGAGGAAGAAAACCCACCAUUUGUAAACCCUUUUGAGGGACUGCCCGAGGACCAACAAGAUGAAUUAGCAGCCCGACAACAAGCACAUCUACAACAGGUAAAAGAAGAAUUAAAGAGACUGGACUCAGAUAAAGACUAAAAGCUGUCGAACUCCAAAUGGUCGUCAGACAAGGCUUCCAGCCCAUUCCAUUGGACGACCUGAGCAGCCCUCUGGACCGAGCAGCACAAUCUUUCCAAGGCCACUGUUGUACACCAUAAGACAGACAGCAAGAGGAAAUACCCUAAUCCCCUUCGACGCCCAUAUGCCAGCUUUGAAGAAGUUACAGAAAACGGAAUUCCACCCAUAAUUCCAAAGAAGAAUUUUGGGUAUUGCCUCUUGAGGGGGGAAUGUUAGGUAGGAAGUCAGUUAUGAGCUUGUGUGUGUGUGUGACAUAAAGGCAAAAAGAGAAGACAUCUACGUCCAGCAUAUGCUGCUUCUCAAAGUCAUCCUGACAAUGUUUCAGGGGCAGUCCAGUAUUCACUUCCUGCCCUGCCCUGUCCCCUUCUACCUGAUAACCUGCCAGGUGGGGUGGGGGGUCCCCACCCCUUCUGCCUGACAAAUCUUCCACAAUCUCCCAGGUGCAGCCCAGUAUCUGCAUUUCAAAUACCCUGCUCCAGAUCCCAAUUCUCUAGGGGGUCCUGCCCACCCUUCCUCCUGUCUGAUAAUAUUUGCAUCCAUAAAGUCCUUUGUUUCAGCCAUAAAGUCCUUUGUUUCAGGAGGAAGUGUGUGAAGCAAGACCCAUCUCCCUAAAAACCCCCGGCCUCAACCGGACUGCACGCUCAGCCCUCUGCCUCUAUGCUGAGUCGCCCGCUUGGUCUGGCCAGGGGUAAUCUCCACCCAACCAUGUAACCUCGCUCCUUCCCUGCCCCCAGUCCGAGCGACUGGGCACCCUCUCAGGCUCUGUCUGGAGAGGUGCCCAUCCUUCUAAAAAAAAAAAAAAAGAAAAGAAAAAAAGAAAAGUAACUGCUCUAGAGCGUUAAGUUUGAAAAGGGAUGGCCUGAUUGGAUGGCUUAACCGAAAACCACAAACCAACUGUCACAACUGUCAUUGCCAUGACUAUGGGACCUUGGGAGGUCAGCGGGUGGGUGGGGCUAGCCUCUAGAAACUGUAUAUAAGGGGACCCUCAGACACUGUAAAGCAGAGGUUGCUCAGCCUCUCUCUCCCUGGUUCGUAGCGCCUUGUGCCUGCGGGGAGAAGCUCCUGGUCCGUAGCAUCUACUGCCCCCAGGAGUUGGCUUGAGCGAUCUCUCCUCCUAGUCGCCUAGAGUACCAAUAACGUGUGUUUAACUUGACCUUCCUCAGUCUCCUCUUCCUUUGUGGCAACCUGGCCAGUUCCCAGAGGGGGAGAUCCUGACAAAGGUUGAGAUGGAAUCUUCAUGGACAGACCUCUACAGUUGUGUAGAUGACGUUACAAGCCGCCCCAAAAUGUCUUUUAAUAUUACUUGUAAGCAAUAUGUAUAAUACAUUAUUAAACUUUUAGGAAAAAUAACAACAGAAGUGUACUAAUAACAAACUAUUGGUUAAAGAAAUCUAAUUUGUCUAAUAAAAUACAAUAAUAUAAUUUUUGUAAUCUUCCUGAUCUUAAAACUGUCUCCUUCACCUACUGUCCUCAGGUGACUACAGAUCUACUUUCUGUCACUAUAAUCUGUACCAUGCACAAUUGUGUAUAAAUGGAAUUAAACAGCAUGGGUUCUUUUUUGGUCUGGGUUAUUGCACUCAGCAUACUUACUUUGAGGCUGUUUUAAUUAUGUUGCCACAUGUAUCAAUGGGGCUAGAGAACCUUUUUCUGCCAAGGGCUAUUUGGAUAUAACAUCAUUCGUGGCCAUACAAAAUUAUCAACUUAAAAUUUGGCUUGCUGUAGAUUUACUGAACUUGGACUCUUGCCUGAGGUUGCCUUGGCAGGGCUGGACCAGAUGGUUUUGGGGACCACCUCUGUAUCCCUUUUUCAUGCUCAGUAGUAUUCCAUUGUUUGGAUAUAUUACAAUUGUUCUAUCCCCUCAACAGUUUUUGCACAUUUUAGUUGUUUCCAAUUUUAAUCAUUCCAAGGAGAGACGCUAGAAAAAUUUUUGUCCAGU
Non-coding RNA from Oryctolagus cuniculus (rabbit), 3000 nucleotides. The record is from RefSeq and is a predicted model, not a curated record. Lineage: Eukaryota; Metazoa; Chordata; Mammalia; Lagomorpha; Leporidae.